UUAAGCGACUAAGCGUACACGGUGGAUGCCCUGGCAGUCAGAGGCGAUGAAGGACGUGCUAAUCUGCGAUAAGCGUCGGUGAGGUGAUAUGAACCGUUAUAACCGGCGAUUUCCGAAUGGGGAAACCCAGUGUGUUUCGACACACUAUCAUUAACUGAAUCCAUAGGUUAAUGAGGCGAACCGGGGGAACUGAAACAUCUAAGUACCCCGAGGAAAAGAAAUCAACCGAGAUUCCCCCAGUAGCGGCGAGCGAACGGGGAGGAGCCCAGAGCCUGAAUCAGUGUGUGUGUUAGUGGAAGCGUCUGGAAAGGCGUGCGAUACAGGGUGACAGCCCCGUACACAAAAAUGCACAUAUUGUGAGCUCGAUGAGUAGGGCGGGACACGUGGUAUCCUGUCUGAAUAUGGGGGGACCAUCCUCCAAGGCUAAAUACUCCUGACUGACCGAUAGUGAACCAGUACCGUGAGGGAAAGGCGAAAAGAACCCCGGCGAGGGGAGUGAAAAAGAACCUGAAACCGUGUACGUACAAGCAGUGGGAGCCUCUUAAUGGGGUGACUGCGUACCUUUUGUAUAAUGGGUCAGCGACUUAUAUUCUGUAGCAAGGUUAACCGAAUAGGGGAGCCGAAGGGAAACCGAGUCUUAACUGGGCGUUAAGUUGCAGGGUAUAGACCCGAAACCCGGUGAUCUAGCCAUGGGCAGGUUGAAGGUUGGGUAACACUAACUGGAGGACCGAACCGACUAAUGUUGAAAAAUUAGCGGAUGACUUGUGGCUGGGGGUGAAAGGCCAAUCAAACCGGGAGAUAGCUGGUUCUCCCCGAAAGCUAUUUAGGUAGCGCCUCGUGAAUUCAUCUCCGGGGGUAGAGCACUGUUUCGGCAAGGGGGUCAUCCCGACUUACCAACCCGAUGCAAACUGCGAAUACCGGAGAAUGUUAUCACGGGAGACACACGGCGGGUGCUAACGUCCGUCGUGAAGAGGGAAACAACCCAGACCGCCAGCUAAGGUCCCAAAGUCAUGGUUAAGUGGGAAACGAUGUGGGAAGGCCCAGACAGCCAGGAUGUUGGCUUAGAAGCAGCCAUCAUUUAAAGAAAGCGUAAUAGCUCACUGGUCGAGUCGGCCUGCGCGGAAGAUGUAACGGGGCUAAACCAUGCACCGAAGCUGCGGCAGCGACACUAUGUGUUGUUGGGUAGGGGAGCGUUCUGUAAGCCUGUGAAGGUGGCCUGUGAGGGUUGCUGGAGGUAUCAGAAGUGCGAAUGCUGACAUAAGUAACGAUAAAGCGGGUGAAAAGCCCGCUCGCCGGAAGACCAAGGGUUCCUGUCCAACGUUAAUCGGGGCAGGGUGAGUCGACCCCUAAGGCGAGGCCGAAAGGCGUAGUCGAUGGGAAACAGGUUAAUAUUCCUGUACUUGGUGUUACUGCGAAGGGGGGACGGAGAAGGCUAUGUUGGCCGGGCGACGGUUGUCCCGGUUUAAGCGUGUAGGCUGAUUUUCCAGGCAAAUCCGGAAAAUCAAGGCUGAGGCGUGAUGACGAGGCACUACGGUGCUGAAGCAACAAAUGCCCUGCUUCCAGGAAAAGCCUCUAAGCAUCAGGUAACAUCAAAUCGUACCCCAAACCGACACAGGUGGUCAGGUAGAGAAUACCAAGGCGCUUGAGAGAACUCGGGUGAAGGAACUAGGCAAAAUGGUGCCGUAACUUCGGGAGAAGGCACGCUGAUAUGUAGGUGAAGCGACUUGCUCGUGGAGCUGAAAUCAGUCGAAGAUACCAGCUGGCUGCAACUGUUUAUUAAAAACACAGCACUGUGCAAACACGAAAGUGGACGUAUACGGUGUGACGCCUGCCCGGUGCCGGAAGGUUAAUUGAUGGGGUUAGCGGCAACGCGAAGCUCUUGAUCGAAGCCCCGGUAAACGGCGGCCGUAACUAUAACGGUCCUAAGGUAGCGAAAUUCCUUGUCGGGUAAGUUCCGACCUGCACGAAUGGCGUAAUGAUGGCCAGGCUGUCUCCACCCGAGACUCAGUGAAAUUGAACUCGCUGUGAAGAUGCAGUGUACCCGCGGCAAGACGGAAAGACCCCGUGAACCUUUACUAUAGCUUGACACUGAACAUUGAGCCUUGAUGUGUAGGAUAGGUGGGAGGCUUUGAAGUGUGGACGCCAGUCUGCAUGGAGCCGACCUUGAAAUACCACCCUUUAAUGUUUGAUGUUCUAACGUGGGCCCGUAAUCCGGGUUGCGGACAGUGUCUGGUGGGUAGUUUGACUGGGGCGGUCUCCUCCUAAAGAGUAACGGAGGAGCACGAAGGUUGGCUAAUCCUGGUCGGACAUCAGGAGGUUAGUGCAAUGGCAUAAGCCAGCUUGACUGCGAGCGUGACGGCGCGAGCAGGUGCGAAAGCAGGUCAUAGUGAUCCGGUGGUUCUGAAUGGAAGGGCCAUCGCUCAACGGAUAAAAGGUACUCCGGGGAUAACAGGCUGAUACCGCCCAAGAGUUCAUAUCGACGGCGGUGUUUGGCACCUCGAUGUCGGCUCAUCACAUCCUGGGGCUGAAGUAGGUCCCAAGGGUAUGGCUGUUCGCCAUUUAAAGUGGUACGCGAGCUGGGUUUAGAACGUCGUGAGACAGUUCGGUCCCUAUCUGCCGUGGGCGCUGGAGAACUGAGGGGGGCUGCUCCUAGUACGAGAGGACCGGAGUGGACGCAUCACUGGUGUUCGGGUUGUCAUGCCAAUGGCACUGCCCGGUAGCUAAAUGCGGAAGAGAUAAGUGCUGAAAGCAUCUAAGCACGAAACUUGCCCCGAGAUGAGUUCUCCCUGACUCCUUGAGAGUCCUGAAGGAACGUUGAAGACGACGACGUUGAUAGGCCGGGUGUGUAAGCGCAGCGAUGCGUUGAGCUAACCGGUACUAAUGAACCGUGAGGCUUAACCUU
This 2902-nucleotide ribosomal RNA is filed under the name Escherichia coli KTE191. RNAcentral describes it as "bacterial LSU rRNA". It matches the Rfam family "Bacterial large subunit ribosomal RNA". Lineage: Bacteria; Pseudomonadati; Pseudomonadota; Gammaproteobacteria; Enterobacterales; Enterobacteriaceae. The record is from RNAcentral.